GCGGGUGUAGCUCAGUUGGUAGAGCACUUCCUUGCCAAGGAAGAUGUCGCGCGUUCGAAUCGCGUCACCCGCUCCA
RNAcentral lists this transfer RNA (76 nucleotides) under Verrucomicrobiota bacterium. RNAcentral's name for it is "Verrucomicrobia bacterium (rhizosphere metagenome) tRNA-Gly". It matches the Rfam family "tRNA". Rfam says of the family: Transfer RNA (tRNA) molecules are approximately 80 nucleotides in length. Their secondary structure includes four short double-helical elements and three loops (D, anti-codon, and T loops). RNAcentral also lists the same sequence under 2 other names. Lineage: Bacteria; Pseudomonadati; Verrucomicrobiota. The record is from RNAcentral.